RNAcentral lists this ribosomal RNA (253 nucleotides) under uncultured bacterium. RNAcentral describes it as "partial 16S ribosomal RNA". It matches the Rfam family "Bacterial small subunit ribosomal RNA", at positions 524 to 776 of the family's 1533-position model. The record is from RNAcentral.
GACGUAGGGCGCGAGCGUUGUCCGGAUUUAUUGGGCGUAAAGAGCUCGUAGGCGGCUUGUCGCGUCGUCCGUGAAAACCUGCGGCUCAACUGCAGGCUUGCGGUCGAUACGGGCAGGCUGGAGUUCGGUAGGGGAGACUGGAAUUCUUGGUGUAGCGGUGAAAUGCGUAGAUAUCAAGAGGAACACCUGCGGCGAAGGCGGGUUGCUGGGCCGACACUGACGCUGAGGCGCGAAAGCCAGGGGAGCGAACGGG